GAGCAGGCUCGCUUUGGCUGCACGUGUACUAAAAUUGGAACAAUUCAGAAAGAUUAGCGUGGCCCCUCAGCAAGGAUGAUGUGCAGAUCCAUGGAGAGUAAUUUC
This is a small nuclear RNA of Panthera pardus (leopard), 105 nucleotides long. The record is from Ensembl. NCBI's taxonomy places the organism in Eukaryota, Metazoa, Chordata, Mammalia, Carnivora, Felidae.